GUAGUAGUUUGUGUAAUAUCGCGAUCCUUCUCUGGUGUUCCUUGUUUUAGCUGACGACACUCGAGAGCGCCAAUUUUCCUAGAUUCGAUUUUGUGGUUUGGAACUGUGGUUUUGGAAUCCAGAGUAGUCGCCUCGUUCUAGUAUCCAAUUGCUCCAGCACCAACUGGUGAAAAGACCAUCAUUCUUCUACUCAGUUGCAUUUGAAGCUUUGUCAAAAACCAGACACAAUUGGAGACACAGGUUCUUCUAUCAAGGCCUUGACUGGAAUGGCAUAUUUUCAGAUAUGACCACAUUGCUUUGAGGAAAUGAGGCUGAUGUUGCAGAGCUGAUAAAACCCCCACAGAAAGGCCAGCCUACCUCUGAGUCUCUCUGUGCUGAGCCGCCUGGAACUGGGGGUGAGGUGAUGCAAACACCCAUGUGGCCACCACCAGUGUAAUUGCCCUGAGGCAGACCUGAAACCAGCAUAGUACUGGGUCUUGC
RNAcentral lists this long non-coding RNA (480 nucleotides) under Homo sapiens (human). Its description in RNAcentral is "HSALNT0200518". Lineage: Eukaryota; Metazoa; Chordata; Mammalia; Primates; Hominidae. The record is from RNAcentral.